AUCAAUCUGACGAGUCCCAAAUAGGACGAAACGCGCGUCCUGGAU
RNAcentral lists this non-coding RNA (45 nucleotides) under Schistosoma bovis. The record is from RNAcentral. RNAcentral also lists the same sequence under 1 other name. Lineage: Eukaryota; Metazoa; Platyhelminthes; Trematoda; Strigeidida; Schistosomatidae.